This is a non-coding RNA of Schistosoma rodhaini, 46 nucleotides long. The record is from Rfam. Lineage: Eukaryota; Metazoa; Platyhelminthes; Trematoda; Strigeidida; Schistosomatidae.
GCACUGCUGAGGAGUCCCACAAUUGGACGAAGUGGCCAUCCAGUGC